RNA transcript from Chelonia mydas (Green sea turtle), 2093 nucleotides. It is a transcript of the gene named chromosome 12 C19orf12 homolog, with no coding region annotated. NCBI's taxonomy places the organism in Eukaryota, Metazoa, Chordata, Testudines, Cheloniidae. The transcript is spliced from 6 exons. The record is from RefSeq and is a predicted model, not a curated record.
CGAGACACAACCUAUCAACACCCCCGCCCACGUGUUUCCCCUCGGCCCCGCGCCGGCCGGCUCCCAGUGGUGGCGCCGCUCGCAUGUGGCUGCUCCUGCGCCUGGAACCUCCCGGGCCCUUCCGCGUCCGUGGCUCUGCGCCCCAGCGGGCCGAGGGUCCUAACUAGCCAAGAUGCCGAUCGACGUUAAUGAUGUGAUGCGCCUAUUGUGCCGUAUCUCUGAGGAGAGGAAGAUGAAGGCUGCUGUCAGGCAUUCUGGACGAGGAGCUCUAGUAGCGGGUGCAACAGCAUUUGUCGGGGGCUUAAUGGGUGGUCCACCUGGAAUAGCUGUAGGGGGUGCAGUUGGUGGUUUAUUUGGUGCUUGGAUGACUGCUGGACAGUUUAAGCCAAUCCCUCAGAUUAUACUGGAACUGCCUCCUGCUGAGCAACAGAAGCUCUAUGAAGAUGCCUUCGCUAUUGUCAGGAACUUAGACUGGACUGAUGCUGCACAGUUGACUGCACUUGUAAUGGGAAAUGCCGCCCUCCAACAGAAGUUGGCAGCAGUGCUAAUAAAUUAUCUUUCACAUGAGCUAAGAGCAGAAAUACGUCGUGUAGGGACAGAGAUGGGUUGGCCCUUGGACAUGUCUCUUUAUUUGUGUUUCCUAAAGUUAAUUAUUUUAGGAAAAAUUGUGGGAGCAGCCACCAGCAAGAGUUGGUGGCCACACUCUGAGACCACCAAAUAUUUUGUUGUGAGAACCCCUGCACUAGUGGUAGCAAUGGUAUCAUUAUUGCUUUGAAUAGGUUGUCCUGACAGAGCAGGGGUAACCCCUGAGCUCUGUCUACACUAACAGCUUAGCACCAGUGCCGCUGUCCCAUUGCUGGCUGUUGUUGUAAUUUUUUUUUUUUCUACUGUAGGUGCACUCCUGGCGGUAGCACUAGCUGGCUGGGAAGACUGACACUGCUUGAUAAUAAAGUAGAAUGCAGAUUUGGGGUAUAGCUCAAGUCUAAUUUAACAGCAGACUUUCAGCUUGAUGAUUUUUUUUUUAAACUAAUGUCUUUGCAUUGCAGUGAACUAAAGCUAUUAGCCUUUAAUUAGAAUAGGAGGUUUCUUCUUUACCUUUCUAGAGAUCACAGAAAUCCAAUGCAUUUCUCAAGCUGUGAGCCAGAAAUCAAACAUUCAUCACAUAAUUGCAGUAACUAUGUGCUAAUACUUCCCAUUAAAUAUGAUUUAUUAAUUCUACAAGAGCAUAAUAGGAAAAGACAUGAAUUCCAUUCCAAAGUUGGCAAAAAUUCCAACAUUCCAGUUUAAUUUGAUGGCUCAAAGACAUCACCAGAACCAUGCUGCUGUAUGUGAAGAGUUUAUACAAAGGGAUCUCUCUCUUCACAUUUUGGGCAUCAUCAAAGGAGAUAGCAUUGCCUAAGGCACAGGUAUUGGAUUUGAAAGACCUGGGUUCAAUUCCUGCCUUUGUUGAUAGUUUGCCAAGUGACUUCCCUUCUUUGUGUACUUUGCUUUAGUUUCUCCAUCUGUGAAAUGGGGAUUAUGCUCCUGACCUCUGGAAGGCACUUUAAGAUCUGCUGAUGAAGAUUGCUACGUAAGAACUUCUUGUUCUUUUGCUGUUUGCCUCCCUCCAGUUCUACAAUCAAGAUGUCAAGACAUGGAAGAAUAUUAUAAAUGUUAGCGUAGGUUCGUACUAGUGAGAGGGGUAAAAACUAUUAGACCAUGAGUCCAGAUACUUGCAAAGGCUGGUUAUUGUUUCCUGAGAGACUAUAUCCAGUCUUAAACUGAUAUUAUACUUGAUCUAAGCUAGUAUGGGGCCCUCUAUACUUAGGCCUCAAGGAAUCUAUAUAAUGGAAUUUGAACAUUUUUAGGUCCUUUCAGUUAACCUUUUUUUCUCCACAGUCUGUGUGAAAGAGGUAAAAAGUGCAACCAUUAUCUUAAGUUAAUGCGUUUCUUCUGAAUACGCAUAUGUCAGAUACUCCCCUGCUGUAUAGUUUGAUGACAGCAUAUCAUGACCUGCUAUUGUAUGAAAUAUGAAAUGAUGGGAGUGAAUAAUCGUUGUAAUUCUGGCUCAAAACUGAUCUAAUAAAACUGUCCUUAAGGGAUUUAUAUUUUUA